UACGGAGGGUGCAAGCGUUGCUCGGAAUUAUUGGGCGUAAAGCGUAUGUAGGCGGUUUUCUAAGUCUGAUGUGAAAUCCCGGGGCUUAACCUCGGAACUGCAUUGGAUACUGGAAAGCUAGAGGACGAUAGAGGAUGGUGGAAUUCCAGGUGUAGGGGUGAAAUCCGUAGAUAUCUGGAGGAACAUCAGUGGCGAAGGCGGCCAUCUGGAUCGUACCUGACGCUGAGAUACGAAAGCGUGGGGAG
Molecule: ribosomal RNA, 245 nt
Filed under: uncultured Pseudomonadota bacterium
Lineage: Bacteria; Pseudomonadati; Pseudomonadota
Description: uncultured proteobacterium partial 16S ribosomal RNA
Rfam family: Bacterial small subunit ribosomal RNA
Source: RNAcentral